GUGGAUUAGAUACCCGGGUAGUCCACGCCGUAAACGAUGAGUGCUAGGUGCUGCGGGUAUUGACCCCUGCGGUGCCGUAGCUAACGCGUUAAGCACUCCGCCUGGGGAGUACGGCCGCAAGGCUAAAACUCAAAGGAAUUGACGGGGGCCCGCACAAGCGGUGGAGCAUGUGGUUCAAUUCGACGCAACGCGCAGAACCUUACCUGGGUUAAAUCCACUCGAAGUUGGUAGAGAUACCGAUGUGCCUUUCGGGGAGCGAGUGAGAAGGUGCUGCAUGGUCGUCGCCAGCU
RNAcentral lists this ribosomal RNA (290 nucleotides) under uncultured bacterium. RNAcentral's name for it is "partial 16S ribosomal RNA". It matches the Rfam family "Bacterial small subunit ribosomal RNA", at positions 773 to 1060 of the family's 1533-position model. The record is from RNAcentral.